GGGGUUGUGGCUCAGUGGUAGAGUACUCGCCUAGCAUGUGUGAGGCACUGUGUUCAAUUCUCAGAACCACA
RNAcentral lists this transfer RNA (71 nucleotides) under Marmota marmota marmota (Alpine marmot). It matches the Rfam family "tRNA". From Rfam's summary of the family: Transfer RNA (tRNA) molecules are approximately 80 nucleotides in length. Their secondary structure includes four short double-helical elements and three loops (D, anti-codon, and T loops). The record is from Rfam by way of RNAcentral. Lineage: Eukaryota; Metazoa; Chordata; Mammalia; Rodentia; Sciuridae. RNAcentral also lists the same sequence under 1 other name.